RNAcentral lists this unclassified non-coding RNA (485 nucleotides) under Lagenophora nudicaulis. RNAcentral describes it as "partial contains external transcribed spacer and 18S ribosomal RNA". Lineage: Eukaryota; Viridiplantae; Streptophyta; Magnoliopsida; Asterales; Asteraceae. The record is from RNAcentral.
UGGUUGUUUGCUUGGCUCUUUAGCCUUGCAGGUGGCAGUUUCCCAGUUCGGCUUCGGGGAUGUUUAUCGUAAAGGUGCAUGAGUGGUGUUUGGUUUGAUACGGGUGGUUGGCUCCCUGCUUGAGCAGGCACGGCCACGCGUACAAUCCUUUUCAGUUGUGCGGCAAGGCUUGUAUCGUCUUGAUCGUAUAUGUGGGUUUCCUGUGUUGCAUACCUGAUCAACGGCAUCAUCUUGAUCAAAAAUGUAUCUUUUUCGUCAGGCUUUGCACCCGCAACGUCGGAUGAACCAUGCAGCACCCUCUUUGAUCCAUAUAGUCGAUGAGAAUUCGUUGAUUGUUUGGCCCGUUGAGGGUGGCUUGGUCUCUUGGAUAUGGAAGCCAAAGCGGGCAUGGGUUCUUAUGAUCCUUUUAUUGCCCUCGUUGAGCGUUCUCGCUUCUCUUACACGACCGCCUUUCACGUAUGGCACGUCCCAGCGUGUUUGGCUAC